GAUAAACGCUGGCGGCGUGCCUAAUACAUGCAAGUCGAGCGAACGGACGAGAAGCUUGCUUCUCUGAUGUUAGCGGCGGACGGGUGAGUAACACGUGGAUAACCUACCUAUAAGACUGGGAUAACUUCGGGAAACCGGAGCUAAUACCGGAUAAUAUUUUGAACCGCAUGGUUCAAAAGUGAAAGACGGUCUUGCUGUCACUUAUAGAUGGAUCCGCGCUGCAUUAACUAGUUGGUAAGGUAACGGCUUACCAAGGCAACGAUGCAUAGCCGACCUGAGAGGGUGAUCGGCCACACUGGAACUGAGACACGGUCCAGACUCCUACGGGAGGCAGCAGUAGGGAAUCUUCCGCAAUGGGCGAAAGCCUGACGGAGCAACGCCGCGUGAGUGAUGAAGGUCUUCGAAUCGUAAAACUCUGUUAUUAGGGAAGAACAUAUGUGUAAGUAACUGUGCACAUCUUGACGGUACCUAAUCAGAAAGCCACGGCUAACUACGUGCCAGCAGCCGCGGUAAUACGUAGGUGGCAAGCGUUAUCCGGAAUUAUUGGGCGUAAAGCGCGCGUAGGCGGUUUUUUAAGUCUGAUGUGAAAGCCCACGGCUCAACCGUGGAGGGUCAUUGGAAACUGGAAAACUUGAGUGCAGAAGAGGAAAGUGGAAUUCCAUGUGUAGCGGUGAAAUGCGCAGAGAUAUGGAGGAACACCAGUGGCGAAGGCGACUUUCUGGUCUGUAACUGACGCUGAUGUGCGAAAGCGUGGGGAUCAAACAGGAUUAGAUACCCUGGUAGUCCACGCCGUAAACGAUGAGUGCUAAGUGUUAGGGGGUUUCCGCCCCUUAGUGCUGCAGCUAACGCAUUAAGCACUCCGCCUGGGGAGUACGACCGCAAGGUUGAAACUCAAAGGAAUUGACGGGGACCCGCACAAGCGGUGGAGCAUGUGGUUUAAUUCGAAGCAACGCGAAGAACCUUACCAAAUCUUGACAUCCUUUGACAACUCUAGAGAUAGAGCCUUCCCCUUCGGGGGACAAAGUGACAGGUGGUGCAUGGUUGUCGUCAGCUCGUGUCGUGAGAUGUUGGGUUAAGUCCCGCAACGAGCGCAACCCUUAAGCUUAGUUGCCAUCAUUAAGUUGGGCACUCUAAGUUGACUGCCGGUGACAAACCGGAGGAAGGUGGGGAUGACGUCAAAUCAUCAUGCCCCUUAUGAUUUGGGCUACACACGUGCUACAAUGGACAAUACAAAGGGCAGCGAAACCGCGAGGUCAAGCAAAUCCCAUAAAGUUGUUCUCAGUUCGGAUUGUAGUCUGCAACUCGACUACAUGAAGCUGGAAUCGCUAGUAAUCGUAGAUCAGCAUGCUACGGUGAAUACGUUCCCGGGUCU
Molecule: ribosomal RNA, 1372 nt
Filed under: uncultured bacterium
Lineage: Bacteria
Description: bacterial SSU rRNA
Rfam family: Bacterial small subunit ribosomal RNA
Source: RNAcentral